This 440-nucleotide ribosomal RNA is filed under the name uncultured bacterium. Its description in RNAcentral is "partial 16S ribosomal RNA". It matches the Rfam family "Bacterial small subunit ribosomal RNA", at positions 338 to 795 of the family's 1533-position model. The record is from RNAcentral.
CCUACGGGAGGCAGCAGUGGGGGAUAUUGCACAAUGGGGGAAACCCUGAUGCAGCGACGCCGCGUGGGUGAAGAAGCGCCUCGGCGCGUAAAGCCCUGUCAGCAGGUAAGAAAAUGACGGUACCUGAAGAAGAAGCCCCGGCUAACUCCGUGCCAGCAGCCGCGGUAAUACGUCGGGGGCAAGCGUUAUCCGGAUUUACUGGGUGUAAAGGGGGCGCAGACGGGGAUGCAAGCCAGUAGUGAAAGCCCGGGGCCCAACCCCGGGACUGCUCUUGGAACUGCGUGGCUAGAGUGCAGGAGGGGCAGGCGGAAUUCCUGGUGUAGCGGUGAAAUGCGUAGAUAUCAGGAGGAACACCGGUGGCGAAGGCGGCCUGCUGGAGUGUAACUGACGUUGAGGCCCGAAAGCGUGGGGAGCAAACAGGAUUAGAUACCCUUGUAGUC